Molecule: non-coding RNA, 1489 nt
Organism: Leptonychotes weddellii (Weddell seal)
Lineage: Eukaryota; Metazoa; Chordata; Mammalia; Carnivora; Phocidae
Source: RefSeq, a predicted model, not a curated record
UCAAUCACCUGUGGCAAAGGAAUGCAGUCCCGUGUUAUCCAGUGCAUGCAUAAGAUCACAGGAAGACAUGGAAAUGAGUGUUUUUCUUCAGAAAAACCUGCAGCAUACAGACCGUGCCACCUUCAACCCUGCAAUGAGAAGAUUAAUGUAAAUACCAUAACAUCACCCAGGCUGGCCGCGCUGACGUUCAAGUGCCUGGGAGAUCAGUGGCCCGUGUACUGCCGAGUGAUACGCGAGAAGAACCUCUGUCAGGACAUGCGGUGGUAUCAGCGCUGCUGCGGUACGUGCCGGGACUUCUACGCCCAGAAGCUGCAGCAGAAGAGUUGACCUCAAGCGGCUGGCUGGCUCACAGCGCUUUGCAGUUACAUUAUUUAUAAACACACACACUAGCAUGUUUUUCAGACCAAGUAGUAUCAGAUUACAUAUAAUUUAAUCGAAUUAAUUUAUUUUUGUGCCUGCCAAACAUCCAAUAUGGCGUCUGUCCGGGCUAUACAAACAUUUCGACGUAUACUAUAUGGCUUCAUAAGUAAUUUUAUAUGAAUAAGUUGGAUCCAGUUUCCAGAAUCAAAAUAAAAAGGGAAAAAAAACAAGAUCAUUAGGCUCUAAAAAAAUUUUUUUUGUUGUUUCAGUUAGGGCUCUCUCUAAGGUGCUCUCCUCUCCCUGCCAAUACCAUUGAGUUAUCCAGAAUGUAUACUAACUUAAUGUAAUCGUUUAGUUAUAUAUGGAGAGAAAUCGUUUUUGGUUUUUGGUGUCUUGAUGCAGAAUUAGCCCAUUUUCUGUAACCUACAGGAAAUGUGUAAACAUAACAAACCUCAUAGUGUUGAACAGGUUUUUAGAGAAUGUAUUAUGAAUUUGGUUCAGACUUAGAAAUAUCCAUAGGAAAAAUUCUACUGUAAUUAUAACCUUAUUUUAAUAAUGGAAAAAAAAAGUCAAAAUAGAGACUUUGAUCAUGUUCAUGAACAUGUACUUGAACACAAGUAUUUUAACAAUGAAACACUGUAAUGAUUUACACUGAAUCACCAUUGCACUGUUGAUAUAGUAUAGAGAAAUCAGUAUAGAAAUGGUAACAUCCUACAAAAAUAUGUAUUAUUUUAACAUGUUGUCAUUAGAUUUUAGCUUUUUUUUAAAUAUUUUGAACAAAGAAAGCAGUGAUCCACCCGUCUCCUUGUAUCUUUUUAGCAGAUUUAUAAAAGACUAUAGUACUUAGCCUCACAAAUCAUGAGAAAAUUUACCAAAUAUUUUUCAGCUUUUUCCCUAGAAACAAGAAAAAAACAAAACACUUAUAAUACUGUGGUAGUUUCAUUGUGUUUUUUCCUUUUGAAAACUAAAAAGUUUUACAAUUCUGUGAAACGUUAAAAGAACCAGCUUAAAUGUUUUCUUGUGAGAAAAUGUUGUACAUGAUUCACAUGAUUUCUUAGAUUUUUUUCAAUAAAAUAUGUGAAGCUUCCUGUUGGGAGGCAGUUCUUCAUAGGUCUCUCACGUCUCUACA